This 467-nucleotide ribosomal RNA is filed under the name uncultured bacterium. RNAcentral describes it as "partial 16S ribosomal RNA". It matches the Rfam family "Bacterial small subunit ribosomal RNA", at positions 28 to 506 of the family's 1533-position model. The record is from RNAcentral.
GACGAACGCUGGCGGCGUGCUUAACACAUGCAAGUCGAACGGUGAAGCUCCAGCUUGCUGGAGUGGAUCAGUGGCGAACGGGUGAGUAACACGUGAGCAACCUGCCCCUGACUCUGGAAUAAGCGCUGGAAACGGCGUCUAAUACUGGAUAUGAGAAGGGUCCGCAUGGACACUUUCUGGAAAGUUUUUCGGUUGGGGAUGGGCUCGCGGCCUAUCAGCUUGUUGGUGAGGUAAUGGCUCACCAAGGCGACGACGGGUAGCCGGCCUGAGAGGGCGACCGGCCACACUGGGACUGAGACACGGCCCAGACUCCUACGGGAGGCAGCAGUGGGGAAUAUUGCACAAUGGGCGAAAGCCUGAUGCAGCGACGCCGCGUGAGGGAUGACGGCCUUCGGGUUGUAAACCUCUUUCAGCAGGGAAGAAGCGAAAGUGACGGUACCUGCAGAAGAAGCACCGGCUAACUACGU